Molecule: ribosomal RNA, 464 nt
Filed under: uncultured Klebsiella sp.
Lineage: Bacteria; Pseudomonadati; Pseudomonadota; Gammaproteobacteria; Enterobacterales; Enterobacteriaceae
Description: bacterial SSU rRNA
Rfam family: Bacterial small subunit ribosomal RNA
Source: RNAcentral
CCUACGGGCGGCUGCAGUGGGGAGUAUUGCACAAUGGGCGCAAGCCUGAUGCAGCCAUGCCGCGUGUGUGAAGAAGGCCUUCGGGUUGUAAAGCACUUUCAGCGGGGAGGAAGGCGUUAAGGUUAAUAACCUUGGCGAUUGACGUUACCCGCAGAAGAAGCACCGGCUAACUCCGUGCCAGCAGCCGCAGUAAUACGGAGGGUGCAAGCGUUAAUCGGAAUUACUGGGCGUAAAGCGCACGCAGGCGGUCUGUCAAGUCGGAUGUGAAAUCCCCGGGCUCAACCUGGGAACUGCAUUCGAAACUGGCAGGCUAGAGUCUUGUAGAGGGGGGUAGAAUUCCAGGUGUAGCGGUGAAAUGCGUAGAGAUCUGGAGGAAUACCGGUGGCGAAGGUGGCCCCCUGGACAAAGACUGACGCUCAGGUGCGAAAGCGUGGGUGCAAACAGGAUUAGAUACCCGUGUAGUC